CCAUAUUCCUACGGGAAGCAGCAGUGAGGAAUUUUUCACAAUGGACGAAAGUCUGAUGGAGCAAUACCACGUGAACGAUGAAGGUCUUCUGAUUGUAAAGUUCUUUUAUUUAGGAAAAAAAGCGUGCUAGGAAAUGAGCGCGCCUUGAUGGUACUAAUUGAAUAAGUGACAGCUAACUAUGUGCCAGCAGCUGCGGUAAAACAUAGGUCACGAGCAUUAUCCGGAUUUAUUGGGCGUAAAGGAAGCGUAGGCGGGGAGGUUGAUCCAUUGUUAAAAGCAUUUGCUUAACAAAUGUGUGCAUUGGAGAUCGCCUCCCUAGAGUUAAUCAGGGGGUACUGGAAUUCAAUGUGUAGCGGUGGAAUGCGUAGAUAUAUUGAGGAACACCAGAGGCUAAGGCGAGUACCUGGGAUAUAACUG
Molecule: ribosomal RNA, 417 nt
Filed under: Mycoplasma ovis
Lineage: Bacteria; Bacillati; Mycoplasmatota; Mollicutes; Mycoplasmatales; Mycoplasmataceae
Description: bacterial SSU rRNA
Rfam family: Bacterial small subunit ribosomal RNA
Source: RNAcentral